RNAcentral lists this long non-coding RNA (1579 nucleotides) under Malus domestica (apple). RNAcentral describes it as "long non-coding RNA (MDOM_LNC005159)". Lineage: Eukaryota; Viridiplantae; Streptophyta; Magnoliopsida; Rosales; Rosaceae. The record is from RNAcentral.
AUCAUUGAAACUUUUGGCAUAAACAAGUUUAUUUAUGGUACCUUGUAUGCAACACCUGUACAAAAUGACAUAUUGAAUUGAUCCACAUCCACACAUGGGUUCAACAUAGUUUGAGGUUGCUUUGAUAUUCUUUCUGGCUAAGAGAUUUUGGUGUUUCUAUUAUUGGCUCUAUGUUAAGCUAUGUAUCGUGCCUUUGUUUUCUUAUUGAUGUUAAUAUAAAUGAGAUUGUACUAUUUCGGACUAUAGUUCUGCUGGACUUUGGUUGGUAAAUAUCUUUACAUUAAGAGGAAAAGAGCUUUCUUCCGUAUUGUGGCUAUGGAUUAUUGUCAUGAGACUCUUGCUUUCUAGGGUUUAUUCUUGAAUACAGUCUGACUACAAAUGGGUGAUUAAUUUAUAGUUAUAAUAAAUGAAAGGGUAGUCUAAACUUUACUCCCUUCACUUUUUCUUCUGCUUUGUCAAAUGUUCCAUAUUAGUCCCUGUAUUUUUUUCAGACAUUGCCUCUUUGAGUUUUUAAAAUUGUUUCAGUGUGGUCUGUCAAUCCAGAUUUAUACUAACGUGAAUAAAAGUUGCUCACAUGCUUGCCAUGUUAACUCAUAUCCAUGUGGUACUAUUGUCCUGCUCAUUUGACAACGUUAAGGGUAGUGGAAGAAGAUAAAGAGCUUGACUUAGUGAUCCUGUUUCCUUUACAUGAUCUAUGAGGGAGUUGAGGUCACAUAAAGUUUCCAAAUUUUUAAACUAAAUGUUAUGCAGGACAAAGAAACAUAAUAAAAGUUAAUCUUGCUGUCAAUUUCCAGUUCAAUCUCACAUAUCCAGGUGGUACUAUUGCCCUGCUCAUUUGACGACGUUAAGGGUAGUGGAAGAAGAUAAAGAGCUUGACUUAAUGAUCUUAUUUCCUUUACAUGAUCUAUGAGGGAGUUGAGGUCACAUAAAGUUUCCAAAUUUUUAAACUAAAUGUUAUGCAGGGUAAAGAAACAUAAUAAAAGUUAAUCUUGCUGUCAAUUUCCAGUUCAAUCUCAGUUUCUCAGACGGAUAGUUCUAUUAUCUUGGUAACUGAAACAACAAAGGCUUUUUCUUAAUAAAGAUAUUUCCCUAAUUGAUUUUCUUUUACUUGAAUACGAAAUCAUAUCAGUUGUCUUUUACACAUUACAGAAAAGACUCACGAUUUUCUAAUGUAUGCUUUUCCACUUUUCCAAAGCCAAAUAAGCUUGUUUGCAGUUAGUUUUGUUUUUACAGAAAGAGGUGUAGUUUCCCUUGCUGCAUUUGUAAUGCUCUUACAUACCCUCUUACAUACUUUUGUUGCUCAUGUGAUGCAUUUCUAGUCCCUCCCAUCUAACUUUUUGUGAUCCAUUUCUUCAUCACUUUGCCUAAAUCUCUUGGAAUUUGGAAGUCCUUCACCCAACCCUAAUUCUUUUGGCAUUAGGAAUUGUUGUUAAUGCCAUAAGCAUUGUUGUUAAUGUCAAAUAUGUAAGUUAGGUCUUUUGAAAGGAUAAUAGGGUCUAAUAACGUGGUUUCUUUUUCCUCAGUGUUUAUUACCUUAAAUGGAAGACCUAAACUUUUGUUGUAAUAUUUAUAUUUGAAG